This 68-nucleotide transfer RNA is filed under the name Ictidomys tridecemlineatus (thirteen-lined ground squirrel). RNAcentral's name for it is "Spermophilus tridecemlineatus (thirteen-lined ground squirrel) tRNA". It matches the Rfam family "tRNA". Rfam says of the family: Transfer RNA (tRNA) molecules are approximately 80 nucleotides in length. Their secondary structure includes four short double-helical elements and three loops (D, anti-codon, and T loops). Lineage: Eukaryota; Metazoa; Chordata; Mammalia; Rodentia; Sciuridae. The record is from Rfam by way of RNAcentral.
GAGAAUGUAGCUCAGUGGUAGAGUGCUUGCUUUGCAUGCAAGAGCCCUGGGUUCAAUCCCUAAUAUCA